AUUGAACGCUGGCGGCAGGCCUAACACAUGCAAGUCGAGCGGAUGAAGGGAGCUUGCUCCUGGAUUCAGCGGCGGACGGGUGAGUAAUGCCUAGGAAUCUGCCUGGUCGUGGGGGAUAACGUCCGGAAACGGGCGCUAAUACCGCAUACGUCCUGAGGGAGAAAGUGGGGGAUCUUCGGACCUCACGCUAUCAGAUGAGCCUAGGUCGGAUUAGCUAGUUGGUGGGGUAAAGGCCUACCAAGGCGACGAUCCGUAACUGGUCUGAGAGGAUGAUCAGUCACACUGGAACUGAGACACGGUCCAGACUCCUACGGGAGGCAGCAGUGGGGAAUAUUGGACGAUGGGGGAAAGCCUGAUCCAGCCAUGCGGCGUAUGUGAAGAAGGUCUUCGGAUUGUAAAGCAAUUUAAGUUGGGAGGAAGUGCAGUAAGUUAAUACCUGGCUGUUUUGACGUUACCAACAGAAUAAGCACCGGCUAACUUCGUG
RNAcentral lists this ribosomal RNA (484 nucleotides) under uncultured bacterium. RNAcentral's name for it is "partial 16S ribosomal RNA". It matches the Rfam family "Bacterial small subunit ribosomal RNA", at positions 30 to 507 of the family's 1533-position model. The record is from RNAcentral.